Molecule: long non-coding RNA, 517 nt
Filed under: Mytilus galloprovincialis (Mediterranean mussel)
Lineage: Eukaryota; Metazoa; Mollusca; Bivalvia; Mytilida; Mytilidae
Source: RNAcentral
GAAUUUUAAAUUUGAACUUUGGUGGAUAGUUGUUUCAUUGGCAAUCAUACCACAUCUGCUUAUUUUCAUAUCGUAUGGUUAACAUAGAAAUAUGACUAAUCUGACAGAUGAUCCCUUGAUUAUACAGGGUGUUCAAACAGCUGGAUGUAUACAUACGAAGCCUCGUAGGGUAAAAAGGGGGAAUUUUGCCUAUACAUGCACCAAGCAUAAUUGUCCAUUCAUUUUCUUAUGGCAGUCCAUAUAUCUAGCUCCUCUUACUUUGCAUAACUUUCAUAAUUGAUACUUAUCUGCAUGUUCUCAUCCGUAUUAUGCUUGAAAUAUUUGCCAGUGAUCAUUCAGUAUGCACAAAUUAAAUUUUCAUUAUGUGCAAUCAUAUAAAAAAACGUAAUUUCUGGGACUUUUAUUUGUUUGACUAUGUGGUAUAUCAGUUUAUAGUAAUUGUUGAAGUCCGUACGGGGACAUAAUUGUUAUCUUCUAUGUAAAUUGGUCUCUGGUGAAGAGUUGCCUCAUAAACAAU